This 462-nucleotide ribosomal RNA is filed under the name uncultured bacterium. RNAcentral describes it as "partial 16S ribosomal RNA". It matches the Rfam family "Bacterial small subunit ribosomal RNA", at positions 28 to 507 of the family's 1533-position model. The record is from RNAcentral.
GACGAACGCUGGCGGCGUGCUUAACACAUGCAAGUCGAACGGAAAGGCCCUUCGGGGUACUCGAGUGGCGAACGGGUGAGUAACACGUGGGUGAUCUGCCCUGCACUUUGGGAUAAGCCUGGGAAACUGGGUCUAAUACCGAAUAGGACCACGCGCUUCAUGGUGUGUGGUGGAAAGCUUUUGCGGUGUGGGAUGGGCCCGCGGCCUAUCAGCUUGUUGGUGGGGUAAUGGCCUACCAAGGCGACGACGGGUAGCCGGCCUGAGAGGGUGACCGGCCACACUGGGACUGAGAUACGGCCCAGACUGCUACGGGAGGCAGCAGUGGGGAAUAUUGCACAAUGGGCGCAAGCCUGAUGCAGCGACGCCGCGUGAGGGAUGACGGCCUUCGGGUUGUAAACCUCUUUCACCAGGGACGAAGCGUAAGUGACGGUACCUGGAGAAGAAGCACCGGCCAACUACGUG